AAACUGUCAAGUGGACAUAAUAAUGCAGGCUAUGCAAGUGUAUCUCACUCUAGUUUUCCCCUCCAUUUUAAAGUUACCAAAACAAUACUGGACAUUUAUUCCUUUGUAUAGUUACCAAAACAACAUUGAAGAUUGAGCUGGUAAGAGCUUGAGUUACAAGCCAAUUGAAUAUAACCAUCAGAUCACGUGUGCAACCACUACUUCAAUACACAAGCAAGUAUAUUGGAUAAUUGUGAAAAACUAGGUAAAGCAAAAUGAACAAUGUAUAGCAAGAAGCAUUGAGAAUUUGCAUCUAUGAGGAAAUGACUAUAUCAAGGAUCAUGCCGAAAAAAAUUGAGGCACCAUUGCCCAUCUCAAAAGAAAUGCAAGCCAGCAAAUUUCCCAUUCUCUUCUGAUAUCUUUUUCAUAGCCAAUCCGGUGCAGAACUGACACACUAUCUAUGAAUGCAACCCAAUGACAAGGCAUAAUCACUUUUCUGUAUUUUAUUUUUAUCAUGCAAUCCACCUCCCCACAGAAAGAAUGCCAUCUUAAGUUCUAAACUUCAUCUCUCUCCUAAAUCUACCUGAAUAUCAUUUAUGUUCCAGUCGUCAAGUCUCUUUCUCUCCAAGUCCACUAUUCUUACAUGCAGCAUAAUUUUUGACUAAAUAUUUUAAAAUUUUUGUUUACCCAACAAAUACAUAAUAGUAAACUCACUUGCCAAAUAAUUAUAAUUUAAUUAAGUAGCAGGUUGGGCGUAGCAACAAUUUAG
RNAcentral lists this unclassified non-coding RNA (748 nucleotides) under Hevea brasiliensis (rubber tree). Lineage: Eukaryota; Viridiplantae; Streptophyta; Magnoliopsida; Malpighiales; Euphorbiaceae. The record is from RNAcentral.